UCCAGGUGAUGCAAACCUAUAAUUCCUGCUACUAGGAGAAGAUGAGGCUAGUGAAUUGCUUGAGUUAAGGAGUUCUGAGUUUCAAUUCAUUUAAGCUGAUCAGGUAUCCACACUAAAUCCAGCACCAGCAUGGUGAGCCCCUCAAGAGCAGGAGGCUACCAACUUGCCUAAAGAGGGAUACUUCAGCUCAGAUCAGAAAUGGAGCAGGUCAAAGCUUCCACAACAAUCUGCAGUGGAGUUGGGUCCAUGAGUUGCUAUUGAAUUUCCAGCCUGAGUGAUAUAGGGAGGCCCAGCCUCA
This 298-nucleotide non-coding RNA is filed under the name Phascolarctos cinereus (koala). Lineage: Eukaryota; Metazoa; Chordata; Mammalia; Diprotodontia; Phascolarctidae. The record is from RNAcentral.